CAUCGCAAGCCUCCCCCGCCCCUCCUUUGGCCGCUGGAGCCGCCGUGGCCGCGUGCCCAAGUUCGCCUGAAGCCUCACCCGCCGGCUUUGGAGCUGCUCUUGCCCCGGUCCUCCCCAACGCCCAAGAUGCCUCUGGACGGGUGCGGCACUCCUCCAUGACCCCGACGGUGGCUCGCCUUGACAAGAGACGGCCGGAGCCGCCGGGGUCUUGCCAUCUGCGCUCGGCGAGAGCCGCCUCCGUCGUCGUGUUCCACCCUCCCCGCGCCUGUCCGAAACCCUCUCUGGAUGCGGUACUCGCCGGUGUGCCCUCCUGACCCCUCGCCGACCGGAGUAGCUUGCCGGAGCAGCUGCUUCCGUCGCCGGCCGAUCGCCCCUGUCCUCCUCUGUUCUUCGUGUCGGGAGGAGGAACAAGGAGCGAGAGGAGAGAGAGAGAUCCCGUGGACCCCAUGUCUCAGUCGGCUGAAGUGGUUAUAUUGUGAACCUUCACUGUUUAGCCCCUUUUCUGUCUAAAAAGUGAACGGCCACAACUUUUUACUCGCAACUCCGGUUGAGCCCCCUCCGGGAGAGAAACAUUUCCGUCGAUUCGUUCUGCGAGCUUUCCGCACUUCUCCCCGGUGCAUUCUUGAUCCCCAGGGAAGCCACAACCACCAUUUGCAUGAUAGCCAUGCAGUAGCAUUGGUUUUCAACUUGAAUCUUUAAUAACUGUCUAUUUAUUUUGCUACUGCUAUCGUUAUUUCGGUUAUGCUUAUGUAUCUGUGGUUACCAUCAUGCUCACUCUGUUAUCAUGUUCUACCUGCUAGUAUUUCUUUCAUAUGUUCAUACUUGCUAGUAGUACAUGUUGGCUUGGUCAUGUUCUUCGGUGCAUGACUAUUGUCGGUUACCGAGUAUCGUUGAAAUGCGUGUUUCUUUGUUGUUAGUUGGUUAAGUGCCUACUUGGUAUUGUUCUUGAUGUGUUCUCGCAUGGUAUUCAUGUUGAUGUUAGUGGUCAUGUUAUGCUAUGAGUAGUGUUAUACUUGUGAUAUUCAUGCUCGUCAUUAUGCCAUGCUCAUGUGGAUACGAUCUAUGGUUGUUCAUCUAGUUAAUAGUUAUGAUGCACCCCAUGCUUAUGAUGAUAUCAUGUUCAUGCUUUAUAAUUGCAUCAUGUUAUUUUAUUAUGGCUCAGCUCAUUUCAAUCAAGUUUUAACCGGACUUAAAUGAACUUGAACAACUGUUGGCUGAGUCAUGUUGCCACCAUAUUGAUGUGGAGCAUCCUACGGUCAUCCCCAUGGACCUACCAUCAUCUCACCAAGCACCAAGAGGACCCAU
Long non-coding RNA from Triticum dicoccoides, 1305 nucleotides. RefSeq lists it as uncharacterized. The transcript is spliced from 3 exons. Lineage: Eukaryota; Viridiplantae; Streptophyta; Magnoliopsida; Poales; Poaceae. The record is from RefSeq and is a predicted model, not a curated record.